UAGGGAAUAUUGGACAAUGGGCGCAAGCCUGAUCCAGCCAUGCCGCGUGAGUGACGAAGGUCUUCGGAUUGUAAAGCUCUUUUUGGCGGGGACGAUAAUGACGGUACCCGCAGAAUAAGCCCCGGCUAACUUCGUGCCAGCAGCCGCGGUAAUACGAAGGGGGCUAGCGUUGUUCGGAAUCACUGGGCGUAAAGCGCACGUAGGCGGAUUUGUUAGUCAGGGGUGAAAUCCCGGGGCUCAACCUCGGAACUGCCUCUGAUACUGCAAAUCUCGAGUCCGAUAGAGGUGAGUGGAAUUCCUAGUGUAGAGGUGAAAUUCGUAGAUAUUAGGAAGAACACCAGUGGCGAAGGCGGCUCACUGGAUCGGUACUGACGCUGAGGUGCGAAAGCGUGGGGAGCAAACAGGAUUAGAUACCCCCGUAGUCCCUGAGCGGGCUGGCAAGGCGCAU
RNAcentral lists this ribosomal RNA (448 nucleotides) under uncultured bacterium. RNAcentral describes it as "bacterial SSU rRNA". It matches the Rfam family "Bacterial small subunit ribosomal RNA", at positions 355 to 825 of the family's 1533-position model. The record is from RNAcentral.